AUUGAACGCUGGCGGCAGGCCUAACACAUGCAAGUCGAACGAGUGGCGGACGGGUGAGUAAUGUCUGGGAAACUGCCUGAUGGAGGGGGAUAACUACUGGAAACGGUAGAUAAUACCGCAUACCAUCGGAUGUGCCCAGAUGGGAUUAGCUAGUAGGUGGGGUAAAGGCUUACCUAGGCGACGAUCCCUAGCUGGUCUGAGAGGAUGACCAGCCACACUGGAACGGUGACACGGUCCAGACUCCUACGGGAGGCAGCAGUGGGGAAUAGUGCACAAUGGGGUCAAGCCUGAUGCAGCCAUGCCGCGUGUAUGAAGAAGGCCUGCGGAUUGUAAAGUACUUUUAGCGGGUAGGCGUUACCCGCAGAGGAAGCACCGGCUAACUCCGUGCCAGCAGCCGCGGUAAUUC
This 406-nucleotide ribosomal RNA is filed under the name uncultured bacterium. RNAcentral describes it as "partial 16S ribosomal RNA". It matches the Rfam family "Bacterial small subunit ribosomal RNA", at positions 30 to 526 of the family's 1533-position model. The record is from RNAcentral.